UUCGUAUUACCAUAGUCACUCUAUGUAUGCGUAGUAUUAGGUUAUAUAGCCUAGGUAGUCAAGGUAAUUAAUCUGGUAGUCAAAGUGGUCAAGGUAAUCUAGGCGGUGGAGGUAAUCUAGGUAGUGGAGGUAAUCUAGGUAGUGGAGGUAAUCUAGGUAGUGGAGGUAAUCUAGGUAGUGGAGGUAAUCUAGGUAGUGGAGGUAAUCUAGGUAAUCUAGGUAGUGGAGGUAAUCUAGGUAGUGGAGGUAAUCUAGGUAGUCAAGGUAGUGGAGGUAAUCUAGGUAGUGGAGGUAAUCUAGGUAGUGGAGGUAAUCUAGGUAGUCAAGGUAGUGGAGGUAAUCUAGGUAGUGGAGGUAAUCUAGGUAGUGGAGGUAAUCUAGGUAGUCAAGGUACUGGAGGUAAUCUAGGUAGUGGAGGUAAUCUAGGUAGUCAAGGUAGUGGAGGUAAUCUAGGUAGUGGAGGUAAUCUAGGUAGUGGAGGUAAUCUAGGUAGUCAAGGUAGUUGAGGUAAUCUAGGUAGUGGAGGUAAUCUAGGUAGUGGAGGUAAUCUAGGUAGUCAAGGUAGUGGAGGUAAUCUAGGUAGUGGAGGUAAUCUAAGUAGUGGAGGUAAUCUAGGUCACAGAAUAAGGACAUACAGAAGUGUAACUUCCAUUACAAAACCGUAAGGCGCUUUUUUUUGGCGGCCAUGUUCUUAGCAAGUGCCCUAAAGAGAGGCAUUCACCCCCCUGAACUCAAUAUUCAAGAUGGCGGCCGUUUAGAGGAGUUUAUUAAAUAGAAAGCAAUGUGAACUCUUUUUACUCGUUUGAUUUAAGGAUUAUUGUCACCAAAUUAUUUUUGGAACUCCAAAUAAUGUGUGCGUAGAGGAUACGGGUUACAGGAAAUAUUUUAAAUAUUAUAUUUUGUUUUUUUUUAUCGUCGUAGGAGUGAAAACAAGUAUUCAUGGUAAAAUUACUCAACGCAUGUUUGUAAAAAUCGCUUCAAUCCUCAAUACCAGGAUAACCGACUCUGUUCUACACUAUAUCCUACAAUUGAAAAUGUUGAUAAGAUAAAUUUAGGUAAUGGGCGAAACUAUUCUAGACUUGCAAGUGGUUGCAAGUCAAAAAUAAAGUUGGAAAUAUACAAAUUAAGGCAGAGUUGAUAAUAGAAGUAAAUAGACAGUAGCACCAUGGAAAUAUAUAAAACAUGUAAAUUAAAAACAGUUUUUUGUGGAUACUGUGUGUGUAAUAUGUUUUAUGAUGAUUCUGUUGUGUAGCAAAACAAGUAAC
Molecule: long non-coding RNA, 1265 nt
Filed under: Paramuricea clavata
Lineage: Eukaryota; Metazoa; Cnidaria; Anthozoa; Malacalcyonacea; Plexauridae
Source: RNAcentral